This 947-nucleotide ribosomal RNA is filed under the name uncultured bacterium. RNAcentral describes it as "bacterial SSU rRNA". It matches the Rfam family "Bacterial small subunit ribosomal RNA", at positions 523 to 1482 of the family's 1533-position model. The record is from RNAcentral.
AUACGGAAGGUCCGGGCGUUACUCGGAUUUAUUGGGUUUAAAGGGAGCGUAGGCCGGAGAUUAAGCGUGUUGUGAAAUGUAGAUGCUCAACAUCUGCACUGCAGCGCGAACUGGUUUCCUUGAGUACGCACAAAGUGGGCGGAAUUCGUGGUGUAGCGGUGAAAUGCUUAGAUAUCACGAAGAACUCCGAUUGCGAAGGCAGCUCACUGGAGCGCAACUGACGCUGAAGCUCGAAAGUGCGGGUAUCGAACAGGAUUAGAUACCCUGGUAGUCCGCACGGUAAACGAUGGAUGCCCGCUGUUGGUCUGAAUAGGUCAGCGGCCAAGCGAAAGCAUUAAGCAUCCCACCUGGGGAGUACGCCGGCAACGGUGAAACUCAAAGGAAUUGACGGGGGCCCGCACAAGCGGAGGAACAUGUGGUUUAAUUCGAUGAUACGCGAGGAACCUUACCCGGGCUUGAAUUGCAGAGGAAGGAUUUGGAGACAAUGACGCCCUUCGGGGCCUCUGUGAAGGUGCUGCAUGGUUGUCGUCAGCUCGUGCCGUGAGGUGUCGGCUUAAGUGCCAUAACGAGCGCAACCCCUCUCCUUAGUUGCCAUCAGGUCAGGCUGGGCACUCUGGGGACACUGCCACCGUAAGGUGUGAGGAAGGUGGGGAUGACGUCAAAUCAGCACGGCCCUUACGUCCGGGGCUACACACGUGUUACAAUGGCAGGUACAGAGAGACGGUCCCUUGCAAAAUGGAUCAAAUCCUUAAAGCCUGUCUCAGUUCGGACUGGGGUCUGCAACCCGACCCCACGAAGCUGGAUUCGCUAGUAAUCGCGCAUCAGCCAUGGCGCGGUGAAUACGUUCCCGGGCCUUGUACACACCGCCCGUCAAGCCAUGAAAGCCGGGGGCGCCUAAAGUCCGUGACCGUAAGGAGCGGCCUAGGGCGAAACUGGUAAUUGGGGCU